AAAAUGCCAUUUGUCUGUAGAUCGCUCUGUUUCACCCUCUCCUACUAUGUCUCUAUCGCUCUUUAAGUAUUGAGCUAUCUUUUGUUUGAGCACCUCCAUAUCACUUUGUCCUAACCUAGUGCUCUCUUCUUCAUGCGAUUCUGAAGUGAUUUUCUCAUCUCAUUCUGUGCAGAUCGAGAUCAUGUCCCGGUGACCACCCACGUCACCAUCAGAUCUAUUACUGUGAAACAUUAAAACACCUCCGGAGCCGCCCCCGACGGUAGAUGCCCCUCCCCCAAAGGUGCGGACUCCGACCGCAAAACCUGACUCAAUAGGGGAGGGUCCGGGUGGGCAUCUACCGUCGGGGGUGGCUCCGGUGUGGGGCGAAGUACCCACUCCACUCGCAGAUACGUCUUCCUCCAUGGCGGCUCUGGUGCAGGGAUCAUCGUCGGAAGCUCUGGACCGUGGAUCGUCGACUGAGGAACCGGACCGUAGAUCGUCGCAGGAAGAUCUGGACUGAGAACCCCUGCUGAAGGCUCCGGACCGCCGACCGUCGCCGGAGGCUCCGGACCGCCGACCGUCGCCGGAAGCUCUGGACUGCGAAACGUCGCCGGAAGCUCUGGACUGGGAACUGUCACCGGAAGCUCUGGACUGUGGAGGUGCACUGGAGUCCUCAUGCAUUGUGCCGACACCCGGUGGUGCCGGGCUGGUGACACGCACCUCAGGGUGAGUGUGGGGAAGAGGCACAGGACGUACUGGACUGUGGAGACGCACUGGAGACCUGACGCGUGGGACCGGUACAGGUGGCACCGGGCUGAUGACACGCACCUCAGGGUGAGUGCUGGGAAGAGGCACAGGACGUACUGGACUGUGGAGGCGCACUGGAGACAGUACGUAUGGCCGGCGCAGGAUAUACUGGGCCGUGGAGGCGCACUGGAGGUCUGGAGCGUAGCGCUGGCACAACGCGUCCUGGCGGGAUGCUCACUUUAGCCCGG
This is a long non-coding RNA of Oncorhynchus tshawytscha (Chinook salmon), 974 nucleotides long. NCBI's taxonomy places the organism in Eukaryota, Metazoa, Chordata, Actinopteri, Salmoniformes, Salmonidae. The record is from Ensembl.